This 159-nucleotide ribosomal RNA is filed under the name Calceolaria tenella. RNAcentral's name for it is "5.8S ribosomal RNA". It matches the Rfam family "5.8S ribosomal RNA". Rfam says of the family: 5.8S ribosomal RNA (5.8S rRNA) is a component of the large subunit of the eukaryotic ribosome. It is transcribed by RNA polymerase I as part of the 45S precursor that also contains 18S and 28S rRNA. RNAcentral also lists the same sequence under 75 other names. Lineage: Eukaryota; Viridiplantae; Streptophyta; Magnoliopsida; Lamiales; Calceolariaceae. The record is from RNAcentral.
AAAAUGACUCUCGGCAACGGAUAUCUCGGCUCUCGCAUCGAUGAAGAACGUAGCGAAAUGCGAUACUUGGUGUGAAUUGCAGAAUCCCGUGAACCAUCGAGUCUUUGAACGCAAGUUGCGCCCGAAGCCACCAGGCCGAGGGCACGUCUGCCUGGGCGU